CUAGGGGAAAGUUCAUAAGGGAGGCAGAGGGUGAGUUAUCGCUUCCUCUUCAGUCUGGACUGUUACAGCCAUCUUGAGCUAUCGUGGAAGGGUAGUUCAUAAUCAGGGAACACAAAAGAUGUUAUGGGUCUCAUGGGGCCAAGCUGGAUCCGCAGAAGUAUAACAGAUAUGGUGAUAUUCUGGUGCACUUUCCUGGGACACAUGCUGAUUUGGAGUUUAGAGAUGUUCGUCACUGAUGCUAAAUAUUAAGCAAACUGGUAGUGGGGAAAAGAUGAAGAUCCACUGCAUCCUUGGUGGUCACGGAAAUUCAGAGAUUGUCCAUCUUGAACCAAGGAAGAAAUGAGGGAGAACUAAACAAACAAACAAAAAUACCUGUGCGUAAGAAUUGACUGGCCUUUGAUGAGAAAUCACAGGUCAAAACAAAGCUCUCUAUUUAAGAUUUACUACCUUAACUUGGAUUCUGUAUUCCUUUGUUUUUAUAAUGUUCAAAAUUCAAACAUCUGACUUUGGCAUUUAGGCUAUACUACUUGAGAUUUAAAAAAAAAUCUAAUUGACAUUUUUAAAUUUUAGUUUUUGAGGCUUAAUUUACGUAGAAUGAAAUGUGCUGCAAAAUUCAAAGAGUGCUAUGCAUUUUGAAAAAUCAUUCAAUCAUGUAAACACCAUCAAAAUCAGGAUACAGAACAAUCCCAUCAUACUCUCCCCUCCAAAUUCCCUUGUGCUGUCUCUGUUCCAAGCUUCUGGAAACUACCGAUAUGUUUUCUGUCAAUGUUGUCAACAGUUUUUUAUUUUCCAAAAUGUCAUAUAAAUGUAAUCAUAGCCUUUUGAAUAUGGCUUCUUUCACUCAAUGUAACUAUUUUGAGAUUUAUCCGUGUUGUUGCAUGUAGUUCAUACUUUUUAUUGUUCUGUAGUAUUUCAUUUUAUGGUAUUCAGAGUUUGUUUAUAUCCGUUCAUCAGGUGAAAGACAUUUGGGUUGUAUUCAGUUUUUUUGUGAUUUUGAAUAAAGCCACUAUUAAUUACUCACGCAGUUUUUGUGUAAAUGUAUGUUUCCAUUUCUCUUGGGUAAAUAUCUAGGAGUGUGAUGGCUGGGUCAUAGGGUCUGUGCACAUUUAGCUUCAUAAGAAACUGCUAAA
Equus caballus (horse) is the source of this 1130-nucleotide long non-coding RNA. RefSeq lists it as uncharacterized. NCBI's taxonomy places the organism in Eukaryota, Metazoa, Chordata, Mammalia, Perissodactyla, Equidae. The record is from RefSeq and is a predicted model, not a curated record.